UGAGGCAGCUGUGGGAAGGUGGGGGUGCUCACCUUGGCAUACUUGUAGGUGUUCACAGCGCCCUCUACGCUGAGGGUCUGGGAACACAGGAUCUCGCAGUGUCUCUGCAGGGCAUCCAGCUGGAAUAGGCUGGCAGCGGACAGCAGCUGGUGGGGUAACAAAGGCAGUUUGGGGUUGACCAGAGUGCAUAGUCAGGCCUGUGGCCUUAGCUCUCCUACACAGACCCUCAGGGGCCCUGCCCACUUGUGGGUUAAGUCUAACAGCCUUGAUUUAUUUCUGAUCUAGGCCAUCCAGGCAUUUGCUGGGACAACUUGGGAGGCACAGGAGGGUGACAGGCACUGGCUGGGAGCUUAAGUAUAAGAUACAGCUUCCAUCAACAUGAGCUUCUAGCUGGGCUUCAGACCUGGCAGAUGUCUCCACAUGGAGAGACGUGGGCUUUGGCACCCAGGCUCCCUCUGCUCACCUCUAGGAUGUCGGCAGUGGGGAUGUCCAUGGACUCUGUCCCUCCGUAGUACAGAUACUGCAUCAUCAUCUGCAGCGGGAGGAGGCCCAGAAUGAACUUUGUAAAUGCAAGCUCGACCUUCCAAGUCCUAGGUUGGAAUUCUGGCUCCAUCAUUUCUCAGCUGUGUGACUUUGGGCUCAUCCUGGGCGGGGCCAGGCUCUAGACCCACACGCCAGCAGCCUCUUGGUACAGCCUCAGGCCCUCCGGGUGGAGCCCACUGCAGCCCUCACACAGUCAUCACUUUCCAGGGAGGCGCUCCCAGCAGUCUCCUGGACCCUCUGCUGUGUCUGGCAACCAGCCUGUCUAGGGUCGCCAUCACACAGCCUCUGGAGUGCUCCAAAGUCUACAGCUUGCAAGACCUGACCCUCGUCUGCUACCAUCAGGAUGGGCUCAUCACAGCCUUUCUGCUUGGCCUGCUGACACCCUACCUGAGCGUCUGAGCUGCACCAGGCACUCCGACAAGAUGGCAUCGGGAGUGGAACAGAAUAUGCCACUGACGGUGAUGUCUGCGCAGACGGACAGAGGUCAUGCCCCUGAAAAGCGUGCGGCGUGGAGCUCCCACCUGGAAGAUGUGGUACUUCAUGUCGCUGAUCUCAAUGGUCUUGCUGCUGUCGCCAUCCUGUUCUGAUUUAUUGGUCAUCAGCGUCUUGAACCUGGAGCAAAGGAGGUGAAAUGAGGUGGGUGAGGUCCUGGCCUCAGCGAGGACGGCAGAGCCCGGGUGUGCCGUGGGAAGGCGUGCGGUGUGCUCUCAGCGUUUGUGAGCCGUGGCCCCGGGACAGCAAGGAAGUGCCACUAGGCGCUGGGCACUCAUGGUGAGCCAGUCUGGGCCUGUAUUUUGCAUGACCACGUUCUUAGAUAAGCAGCAUUGAUGUGCACAGCUGGGGUCUCCUUCCACCAGGCUGCCUGCCUCGCCUCCCCUGAGGAGAGGAAGGUCCACAGACAUACAGGUCUAACGAGUGAG
Talpa occidentalis (Iberian mole) is the source of this 1463-nucleotide long non-coding RNA. RefSeq lists it as uncharacterized. Lineage: Eukaryota; Metazoa; Chordata; Mammalia; Eulipotyphla; Talpidae. The record is from RefSeq and is a predicted model, not a curated record. The transcript is spliced from 6 exons.